GCACUGGUUUAGCUCAGAGUUUACUUCUGUUUAUCAAUUCUCUCUGGAGAUUACGAUGCUCACUCUCGUCACACGGGAUCAAACCUCGGGCGCUGUCCAGUGUUUUU
Cottoperca gobio is the source of this 107-nucleotide vault RNA. Its record names the gene Vault. It matches the Rfam family "Vault RNA". From Rfam's summary of the family: This family of RNAs are found as part of the enigmatic vault ribonucleoprotein complex. The complex consists of a major vault protein (MVP), two minor vault proteins (VPARP and TEP1), and several small untranslated RNA molecules. The record is from Ensembl. NCBI's taxonomy places the organism in Eukaryota, Metazoa, Chordata, Actinopteri, Perciformes, Bovichtidae.